This 564-nucleotide ribosomal RNA is filed under the name uncultured bacterium. RNAcentral describes it as "bacterial SSU rRNA". It matches the Rfam family "Bacterial small subunit ribosomal RNA", at positions 338 to 916 of the family's 1533-position model. The record is from RNAcentral.
CCUACGGGAGGCAGCAGUGGGGAAUAUUGCACAAUGGGCGCAAGCCUGAUGCAGCGACGCCGCGUGCGGGAUGAAGGCCUUAGGGUUGUAAACCGCUUUCAGCAGGGACGAAAUUGACGGUACCUGCAGAAGAAGCCCCGGCCAACUACGUGCCAGCAGCCGCGGUAAUACGUAGGGGGCGAGCGUUGUCCGGAUUUAUUGGGCGUAAAGAGCUCGUAGGCGGUCCGGUAAGUCGGAUGUGAAAUCUCCACGCUUAACGUGGAGGGGUCAUUCGAAACUGCCAUGGCUAGAGUUUGGUAGAGGAGUGCGGAACUCCCGGUGUAGCGGUGAAAUGCGCAGAUAUCGGGAAGAACACCCGCAGCGAAGGCGGCACUCUGGGCCAAUACUGACGCUGAGGAGCGAAAGCGUGGGGAGCAAACAGGAUUAGAUACCCUGGUAGUCCACGCCGUAAACGUUGGGCACUAGGUGUGGGGAUCUAUCGACGGUCUCCGUGCCGUAGCUAACGCAUUAAGUGCCCCGCCUGGGGAGUACGGCCGCAAGGCUAAAACUCAAAUGAAUUGACGG